RNAcentral lists this long non-coding RNA (236 nucleotides) under Elaeis guineensis (African oil palm). RNAcentral describes it as "long non-coding RNA (EGUI_LNC011996)". Lineage: Eukaryota; Viridiplantae; Streptophyta; Magnoliopsida; Arecales; Arecaceae. The record is from RNAcentral.
GCUACUGAGAUAUGAUAGAGAGAAUCUUUGCUGGUUGCUCAUAGCCGCAUAAGCAUUCAGCCUCUACAAGAAAUUCACUCGAAGUCCCGAUCUGAUCGAUCUUCUCGAGAGUGCUAGCUCACAUGAAGAUUUUCUUCUUGACUGAUCUAGAUCCUUUGUUCAAAUUUCUAAAAUCUUUAUAGAGAUUGAAGAUGGACUUCUGGAGGAGAUAAAAAGGUUAAAAAAGAUAGAGAAGA